AUACGGAGGGUGCAAGCGUUAUUCGGAAUCACUGGGCGUAAAGGACGCGUAGGCGGGAAGCCAAGUCUGAUGAGAAAUCCUAUGGCUCAACCAUAGAACUGCAUUGGAAACUGGUUACCUAGAGUAUGGGAGGGGGAGAUGGAAUUAGUGGUGUAGGGGUAAAAUCCGUAGAUAUCACUAGGAAUACCGAAAGCGAAGGCGAUCUCCUGGAACAAUACUGCCGCUAAGGCGUGAAAGCGUGGGGAGCAAACGGGAUUAGAAACCCCAGUAGUCC
This 274-nucleotide ribosomal RNA is filed under the name uncultured bacterium. Its description in RNAcentral is "partial 16S ribosomal RNA". It matches the Rfam family "Bacterial small subunit ribosomal RNA", at positions 523 to 796 of the family's 1533-position model. The record is from RNAcentral.